Molecule: non-coding RNA, 111 nt
Organism: Acanthosepion pharaonis
Lineage: Eukaryota; Metazoa; Mollusca; Cephalopoda; Sepiida; Sepiidae
Source: the annotation of a GenBank genome assembly
UACGGCCACAUCAUGUUGAAAUACCGGUUCCCGUAAGAUCACCAAAGUUAAGCAGCGUUGAGCUAUGUCAGCACCUAGAUGGGUAGCCAUUUGGGGAAGCCAGGGUGCCGU